UGAUUAUUGACAUAAAAUUGCAAUGUCAUUUUGCUCCAAUUGGCAUGCAUAUCACCAAGGGUUUGCAAUCAAGCUAUUCCUAGAAUAAUAUCAACCCCACCCAGUGGAAAUACAUAACAAUCUGCAUGUAUGUUGAAAUUAGGCAAAUUCAACUCAAUUUGUUUGCACAAACCCAUUGAAGAAAUCUUACAGCCAUCACCCAAUUUGACAUUGAAAGAGGGAGUUGGAAAAAUAGGUAGAUUGAGUUGUUGUACCAACUGGGUAGAUAUAAAAUUGUGG
RNAcentral lists this unclassified non-coding RNA (279 nucleotides) under Hevea brasiliensis (rubber tree). The record is from RNAcentral. Lineage: Eukaryota; Viridiplantae; Streptophyta; Magnoliopsida; Malpighiales; Euphorbiaceae.